This is an unclassified non-coding RNA of Pongo abelii (Sumatran orangutan), 148 nucleotides long. It matches the Rfam family "Metazoan signal recognition particle RNA". From Rfam's summary of the family: The signal recognition particle (SRP) is a universally conserved ribonucleoprotein. It is involved in the co-translational targeting of proteins to membranes. The eukaryotic SRP consists of a 300-nucleotide 7S RNA and six proteins: SRPs 72, 68, 54, 19, 14, and 9. NCBI's taxonomy places the organism in Eukaryota, Metazoa, Chordata, Mammalia, Primates, Hominidae. The record is from Ensembl.
GCUGGGCGUGGUGGCGUAUGCCUGUAAUCCCAGCUACUCGGGAGGCUGAGGAAGGAGAAUUGCUUGAACCCAGGAGGCAGAGGUUACAGUGAGCCGAGAUCAUGCCACUGUACUCCAGCCUGGGUGAUAGAGCGAGACUCUGUCUCCA